This 278-nucleotide ribosomal RNA is filed under the name uncultured bacterium. Its description in RNAcentral is "partial 16S ribosomal RNA". It matches the Rfam family "Bacterial small subunit ribosomal RNA", at positions 780 to 1058 of the family's 1533-position model. The record is from RNAcentral.
AGAUACCCGGGUAGUCCACACCGUAAACGAUGAAUGCCAGACGUCAGCAAGCAUGCUUGUUGGUGUCACACCUAACGGAUUAAGCAUUCCGCCUGGGGAGUACGGUCGCAAGAUUAAAACUCAAAUGAAUUGACGGGGGCCCGCACAAGCGGUGGAGCAUGUGGUUUAAUUCGAUGCAACGCGAAGAACCUUACCUACACUUGACAUUCAGAAAACUUUCCAGAGAUGGAUUGGUGCCUUCGGGAAUUCUGGGACAGGUGCUGCAUGGCCGCCGUCAG